GAGGGGAGAAGAGAUCAAGUAGUGUACAAUAAUUUGUUUGUGAAAAAAGUUGCAGUAGUUGCAAGGUAAAAACAUAUACAAUAAAUGCUCCAACCAUCUUUUUUCUAUUACAUCCUGGAAUAACCUUUGUGGUCUUCAUAUUUCUCCAUGAAUUCAUCAUUGAACUUUUUGAAACUUUCCAUUAUUGCUGGCAUGUCUUCUUCAGCUGGCAAGAUGGUUGUCCUUAGAUGGAACACCCCUUCCUUUUGACCGAAACCUGAACCAGGGACGGUGGAGAUGCCAGUUGCUUCCAACAGCCUCAGACAAUAGAGAACAUCAGGAGCUUUCCCAAGCUUAUUUGCAGUCUCUAUUGCUUUAGGAGGCAAUCGUAUUUGCGGGAAGGAAUACAUUGCACCUUCUGUGAAAUUACAAACAACAUUUCUGCAGCUGUUGAAACCAUCAGUCAUCAUGUGUGCCCUCUUCCUUAAUGACUCGAGGAUACCCUUACUCUCUCUGACAUAUUGGUCAUAUGAGAUAUCUCCAGGUUUAGGGGGGUUCACCAUGAGCCCCAUAAAUAUCUGUCCAGGUACAUUUGGACUGAGUGAAAUUGAAGCAACCUUGUAUAUUUCUUCAACAGCCUUGGGAGGAAUGUUGGUCAUCUCAAA
RNAcentral lists this unclassified non-coding RNA (644 nucleotides) under Hevea brasiliensis (rubber tree). Lineage: Eukaryota; Viridiplantae; Streptophyta; Magnoliopsida; Malpighiales; Euphorbiaceae. The record is from RNAcentral.